AGGUGUGAUUGCAAUGAAAUGGUGUCCAACGGAUAGCCGUUACUUGCUAACCUUUGGAAAAGACAGUCGGACUCUUUCUUGGGAUACAAUUGUGAGUGAAUUACGAGCUGGAAUGAACUUUGACCUUCACUGGUAUCCUAAGAUCCCAGGAUUGGUAUCAGCUUCUUCUUUUGAAGGAAAUGUUGGCUUCUAAAACAUUGAGGGACAUAAAGAUUUUCAUGCAGGGACAUAGAAGAUUAAAUGCAGGGGAGGCCAUCGUAAACUCAGGUAUUCGGGAUAAAGUCAAAAGGCAGUAAUCUGGUGAUAUUGUAGCAGCAGCUGAAUCUACCUAUGAUUUGCUGAGGAAAUUGGUUAAGCAAGCGGACUCUCGUGAUACUUCUGGUGGAGUUCAAUCUUCCUACUCAUUGAUUAGUCGUUAUUUCCCUGUCUUUCAAUGCCUCUUUCAGUUGACACAAACUAGGCCACCCAUCCAUUUAUGAACCUCAACAUA
Molecule: long non-coding RNA, 490 nt
Organism: Papaver somniferum (opium poppy)
Lineage: Eukaryota; Viridiplantae; Streptophyta; Magnoliopsida; Ranunculales; Papaveraceae
Exons: 4
Source: RefSeq, a predicted model, not a curated record